Molecule: ribosomal RNA, 253 nt
Filed under: uncultured bacterium
Lineage: Bacteria
Description: partial 16S ribosomal RNA
Rfam family: Bacterial small subunit ribosomal RNA
Source: RNAcentral
GACGAACCGUGCAAACGUUAUUCGGAAUCACUGGGCAUAAAGGGCGCGUAGGCGGCUUCCUCAGUCAGGGGUGAAAUCCGGCAGCUUAACUGUCGCAGUGCCUUUGAUACUGGGAAGCUCGAGGGAUGUAGGGGUCUGUGGAACUUCCGGUGGAGCGGUGAAAUGCGUUGAUAUCGGAAGGAACGCCGGUGGCGAAAGCGACGGACUGGACAUCUUCUGACGCUGAGGCGCGAAAGCCAGGGGAGCAAACGGG